RNAcentral lists this ribosomal RNA (471 nucleotides) under uncultured bacterium. Its description in RNAcentral is "bacterial SSU rRNA". It matches the Rfam family "Bacterial small subunit ribosomal RNA", at positions 355 to 825 of the family's 1533-position model. The record is from RNAcentral.
UCGAGAAUUUUUCUCAAUGGGGGAAACCCUGAAGGAGCGACGCCGCGUGGGGGAUGAAUGGCUUCGGCCCGUAAACCCCUGUCAUUUGCGAUCAAACCUUACGACCUAACACGUCGUAAGCUGAUAGUAGCGGAAGAGGAAGGGACGGCUAACUCUGUGCCAGCAGCCGCGGUAAUACAGAGGUCCCAAGCGUUGUUCGGAUUCACUGGGCGUAAAGGGUGCGUAGGCGGUCGGGUAAGUCUGACGUGAAAUCUUCGAGCCUAACUCGGAAACUGCGUCGGAUACUAUUCGGCUAGAGGAAUGGAGGGGAGACUGGAAUACUUGGUGUAGCAGUGAAAUGCGUAGAUAUCAAGUGGAACACCAGUGGCGAAGGCGACUGACUGGACAAGUAUUGACGCUGAGGUACGAAAGCGUGGGGAGCAAACAGGAUUAGAUACCCCAGUAGUCCCUGAGCGGGCUGGCAAGGCGCAU